Molecule: ribosomal RNA, 253 nt
Filed under: uncultured bacterium
Lineage: Bacteria
Description: partial 16S ribosomal RNA
Rfam family: Bacterial small subunit ribosomal RNA
Source: RNAcentral
UACGUAGGGUGCAAGCGUUAAUCGGAAUUACUGGGCGUAAAGCGUGCGCAGGCGGUUAUGUAAGACAGGGGUGAAAUCCCCGGGCUUAACCUGGGAACUGCAUUUGUGACUGCAUAGCUGGAGUGCGGCAGAGGGGGAUGGAAUUCCGCGUGUAGCAGUGAAAUGCGUAGAUAUGCGGAGGAACACCGAUGGCGAAGGCAAUCCCCUGGGCCUGCACUGACGCUCAUGCACGAAAGCGUGGGGAGCAAACAGG